GUCUAUGGCCAUACCACCCUGAACGUGCCCAAUCUCAUCUGCUCUUGGAAGCUAAGCAGGGUCAGGCCUGGUUAGUACUUGGAUGGGAGACAGAUCUUCAGAGAAGACUGCUCAGAGAUAAAGAGU
Molecule: ribosomal RNA, 126 nt
Organism: Castor canadensis (American beaver)
Lineage: Eukaryota; Metazoa; Chordata; Mammalia; Rodentia; Castoridae
Source: Ensembl